This is a non-coding RNA of Coffea arabica (coffee), 876 nucleotides long. NCBI's taxonomy places the organism in Eukaryota, Viridiplantae, Streptophyta, Magnoliopsida, Gentianales, Rubiaceae. The record is from RefSeq and is a predicted model, not a curated record.
UGAGACCCUGUUCAAAGAGAGACAGAGAUUCAUUUAGUUCACAGAGGUUUUACAUUGUUUUCUAUGGAGGAUAUAAUGAAGUUUUGUGUUUUCAUGGACUUGCUUAAUUACUUUUAUAGAAUAAAUCGAUGAUAAACCCAAGGAAAAGAGCAUAUAGUUCCUGCAGAUGUUCUCCUCUCAGUCAUAUGAAAGUUCAAUUUGUGAGCUUCUAACUUCUAAAUCAUAUGUUAUUAGUUAAAUCUAGAGGCUUUCUUAAUGACCAUGAAGCAUAUCUUGUAGUUUUUUUGUUCAUAUGUGACUCUAACCUUCUAUAUUCAAUGUCAACAAUUCCAAGUGCCAGUAGAGAGGCUGCUGCAUCUGUGCUCUGUGCCAUCUGACUAAAGGCUCGCUGGCUGAGAAUGAAGUCAGUUCGAUCACUGAUUCCAUGGUCAGUUAUGACUACAGUUACUCCUUUAUCCAGGCAAUAAUAACUAAUUUGGGUAAUAACCUGCCCGAGAAUGGAUAAAACAAUCAGGACAGGUCUCAGACUUUCCAAGACUCUGCAUGAAAAGGAAACAUGCAACAGAGAUCAAGAGCCAUCUCAGGGGUGCCAUUUUAGGAGUAAGUUGCAAAUGCAGGGUAGAGGGAUGCAAAUGAAACAAGAAGUUGGUUGCAGAGGAAGUGGAUGAUGAGUUCUGCUGUAUUUAUAGAGCUAAACAAGCAAAUUGCCUCCUGUUCGGUAAAAUCUAUGACUUUGACGUUCUGUUCAAGUUCGAUUUGAAUUAAUGAAUUCUGUCAAGUUGGUACCCAGCAACUUUCUUAGACCACUUUCUGACCUUCCAUAGUUUAUAAUUUUUCAAGGCUGCAGUCUGGAAUCUGCAAAGACUCACUUUUCUU